This is a small nuclear RNA of Psammomys obesus (fat sand rat), 104 nucleotides long. The record is from RefSeq and is a predicted model, not a curated record. Lineage: Eukaryota; Metazoa; Chordata; Mammalia; Rodentia; Muridae.
CAAACCGUCUCUUUUCUUUUUUUUUAAUGGAAUGAUACAGAAAAAAAUUUGCAUGGUCCUUGCACAAGGACGGCAGGCAUAUUUUUGAAACUCAUUAAAAUUAG